GGAAACCGGGGCUAAUACCGGAUAACAUUUUGAACUGCAUGGUUCGAAAUUGAAAGGCGGCUUCGGCUGUCACUUAUGGAUGGACCCGCGUCGCAUUAGCUAGUUGGUGAGGUAACGGCUCACCAAGGCAACGAUGCGUAGCCGACCUGAGAGGGUGAUCGGCCACACUGGGACUGAGACACGGCCCAACCCACGGGAGGCACAUAGGGAUCUUCCCAUGGAC
Molecule: ribosomal RNA, 223 nt
Filed under: Bacillus sp. CSeA0_54
Lineage: Bacteria; Bacillati; Bacillota; Bacilli; Caryophanales; Bacillaceae
Description: partial 16S ribosomal RNA
Rfam family: Bacterial small subunit ribosomal RNA
Source: RNAcentral